This 364-nucleotide unclassified non-coding RNA is filed under the name Bartonella grahamii. RNAcentral describes it as "partial 16S-23S ribosomal RNA intergenic spacer". The stretch from base 165 to 238 matches the Rfam family "tRNA". Lineage: Bacteria; Pseudomonadati; Pseudomonadota; Alphaproteobacteria; Hyphomicrobiales; Bartonellaceae. The record is from RNAcentral.
GUUUUUUCAAAGAAAAACAUGCAUUUCAAGGCGCUAUGGAUUUCAAAGACCAUGGAUUUACUCAGAACUUAUGGGUUUUAAAAAAGGCUUUAAAAGGAAAUAACUAAAAAACUUUUCCAGUAAUUUAAGAUGAUACCGGGGAAGGUUUUCCGGUUUAUCCCGGAGGGCUUGUAGCUCAGUUGGUUAGAGCGCGCGCUUGAUAAGCGUGAGGUCGGAGGUUCAAGUCCUCCCAGGCCCACCAAUUUAUGCUCGUUUUUUGCUUAUCCAAGAGUACAAAGCUUAAGCGUAUUAAAGCCUCUUCAAUCUUUGUUUAUUUUUAAAGAUUUUAUUUUAUCAUUCAGAGAUUGUUUGUUAAAUUUAUCCC